Molecule: long non-coding RNA, 910 nt
Organism: Eriocheir sinensis (Chinese mitten crab)
Lineage: Eukaryota; Metazoa; Arthropoda; Malacostraca; Decapoda; Varunidae
Exons: 5
Source: RefSeq, a predicted model, not a curated record
CGGAUAAGCCGAUUUUUCGGAUAACCCGGAUUUAUGGCCGCCAUUUUGAUCGCCGCCAUUUUGAUUUUGAAACCAAACAAACACACGCUACGCUAAACAAAGUAGUACGCUUAAAACAUGUGAUGUAAAUGUUUUAUUGUAUGUUUGUCUGUGUGUCUCCUUGUCUGGACCAGUGUAUGUUGAUACUUGUGAGCGUUGCAGAUCUGAAUUGUGAAUGUUGCAGAGUGCGAUUGUGAAUGGUUGUGCAAGCUUGCAAGUGUGACCUUGAUGCAUCGUGCAGGUGGAGACACAGUAUGAUGACUCAUAUUAUCGCGCAACUCGUAUGUUGGAAGGGGAAUGUGGCAUGGAGUGGAGAGGGGAGUCGUGUUUGUGUCGUUGUCUUGAGAGUACGGUGUGAGAGUAGUCGUGCACCUACGUCCUUGCUGGGGCGAAGGUGGUGGUGGACGGCAAACAUUGUGGAAGCAGUCCUCUGAGUCAUGGGGAGGACAACGCCACAACAGACUGGAUAAUGCAAGUGAAGGCCACGAGAGAGAAGGGGAGAGAGGACCAGGGAAUGAUCCGAUGUUUUGCUGCCCCCCUCACUGAGACAAGCCGCUAGACCCACCCAUCGGCAAGUGUUCCAGGAGGCAAGAAGGAGCAUGGGAGUGACUCUACAGCAUGGAACUUUGACAGACCUCCUCCCCCUGCCUUCAAGUCUGGCCAAAGUGUGCGGUGUGCCGCUUGACCAAGACAAGACGCCAGAGAUGUCCGUUCAGCCAUUCAAUUCUGCCGAGGGAAAGAAGUCAUGUUAGUCAACUCUGAUGACCUGUACUUCUCUCUAUGGUCUCUGCUAGGGACUGCUCUGUAAGCCAAUCACAGAUGUGAACUGUAUCUGUACUAUGAAGUCUUAUAAAUAAAGUUAAGGGCCACA